CGAACGCUGGCGGCGUGCUUAACACAUGCACGUCGAACGGAAAGGCCCUGCUUGCAGGGUACUCGAGUGGCGCACGGGUGAGUAACACGUGGGUGAUCUGCCCUGCACUUCGGGAUAAGCCUGGGAAACUGGGUCUAAUACCGGAUAGGAGCCAUUUUUAGUGUGAUGGUUGGAAAGUUUUUUCGGUGUAGGAUGAGCUCGCGGCCUAUCAGCUUGUUGGUGGGGUAAUGGCCUACCAAGGCGGCGACGGGUAGCCGGCCUGAGAGGGUGGACGGCCACAUUGGGACUGAGAUACGGCCCAGACUCCUACGGGAGGCAGCAGUGGGGAAUAUUGCACAAUGGGCGCAAGCCUGAUGCAGCGACGCCGCGUGGGGGAUGACGGCCUUCGGGUUGUAAACUCCUUUCGCUAGGGACGAAGCUUUUUGUGACGGUACCUAGAUAAGAAGCACCGGCUAACUACGUG
This 463-nucleotide ribosomal RNA is filed under the name uncultured bacterium. RNAcentral's name for it is "partial 16S ribosomal RNA". It matches the Rfam family "Bacterial small subunit ribosomal RNA", at positions 30 to 507 of the family's 1533-position model. The record is from RNAcentral.